CCGGCUGGCUGGGCAGUCGCCGCUCCAUUAUUGGGGGGGAGGAAAGUCCGGACUUCAUAGGGUAAGGUGCCAGGUAACGCCUGGGGGGCGAGAGCCCACGGCUAGUGCAGCAGAAAAUAUACCGCCGAUGGCAUUUAUUGCACAGGUAAGGUUGAAAUGGUGCGGUAAGAGCGCACCGCGCGCUUGGUAACAAGAGCGGCAGGGUAAACCCCACCUGAAGUAAGACCAAAUAGGGAUCCAUUGGUGUGACCCGCACUGGAUCCGGGUAGGUUGCUCGAGCCUUAUGGUGACGUAAGGCCUAGAAGAAUGACUGUCCACGACAGAAUCCGGCUUAUAGGCCAGCCAUUUAU
This 350-nucleotide RNase P RNA is filed under the name Gammaproteobacteria bacterium. Its description in RNAcentral is "RNase P RNA component class A". It matches the Rfam family "Bacterial RNase P class A". From Rfam's summary of the family: Ribonuclease P (RNase P) is a ubiquitous endoribonuclease, found in archaea, bacteria and eukarya as well as chloroplasts and mitochondria. Its best characterised activity is the generation of mature 5'-ends of tRNAs by cleaving the 5'-leader elements of precursor-tRNAs. Lineage: Bacteria; Pseudomonadati; Pseudomonadota; Gammaproteobacteria. The record is from RNAcentral.